UACGUAGGGGGCAAGCGUUGUCCGGAUUUAUUGGGCGUAAAGAGCGUGUAGGCGGUCAGGUAGGUCCGUUGUGAAAACUCGAGGCUCAACCUCGAGACGCCGAUGGAAACCAUCUGACUAGAGUCCGGAAGAGGAGAGUGGAAUUCCUGGUGUAGCGGUGAAAUGCGUAGAUAUCUGGAGGAACACCGGUGGCGAAGGCGGCAUCCUGGACCGGCAUUGACGCUGAACAGCGAAAGCCAGGGGAGCAAACGGG
This 253-nucleotide ribosomal RNA is filed under the name uncultured bacterium. Its description in RNAcentral is "partial 16S ribosomal RNA". It matches the Rfam family "Bacterial small subunit ribosomal RNA", at positions 524 to 776 of the family's 1533-position model. The record is from RNAcentral.